RNAcentral lists this ribosomal RNA (253 nucleotides) under uncultured bacterium. Its description in RNAcentral is "partial 16S ribosomal RNA". It matches the Rfam family "Bacterial small subunit ribosomal RNA", at positions 524 to 776 of the family's 1533-position model. The record is from RNAcentral.
UACAGGGGGUGCAAACGUUGCUCGGAAUUAUUGGGCGUAAAGAGCGUGUAGGCGGCCUGAUAAGUCGGCUGUGAAAGUCAAGGGCUCAACCCUUGAAUGCCGGCCGAUACUGUCAGGCUAGAAUCCGGAAGAGGCGAGUGGAAUUCCUGGUGUAGCGGUGAAAUGCGCAGAUAUCAGGAGGAACACCUAUGGCGAAGGCAGCUCGCUGGGACGGUAUUGACGCUGAGACGCGAAAGCGUGGGGAGCGAACAGG